This 496-nucleotide ribosomal RNA is filed under the name uncultured bacterium. Its description in RNAcentral is "partial 16S ribosomal RNA". It matches the Rfam family "Bacterial small subunit ribosomal RNA", at positions 29 to 507 of the family's 1533-position model. The record is from RNAcentral.
AUGAACGCUGGCGGCGUGCCUAAUACAUGCAAGUCGAGCGAACGGACGAGAAGCUUGCUUCUCUGAUGUUAGCGGCGGACGGGUGAGUAACACGUGGAUAACCUACCUAUAAGACUGGGAUAACUUCGGGAAACCGUAGCUAAUACCGGAUAAUAUUUUGAACCGCAUGGUUCAAAAGUGAAAGACGGUCUUGCUGUCACUUAUAGAUGGAUCCGCGCUGCAUUAGCUAGUUGGUAAGGUAACGGCUUACCAAGGCAACGAUGCAUAGCCGACCUGAGAGGGUGAUCGGCCACACUGGAACUGAGACACGGUCCAGACUCCUACGGGAGGCAGCAGUAGGGAAUCUUCCGCAAUGGGCGAAAGCCUAACGGAGCAACGCCGCGUGAGUGAUGAAGGUCUUCGGAUCGUAAAACUCUGUUAUUAGGGAAGAACAUAUGUGUAAGUAACUGUGCACAUCUUGACGGUACCUAAUCAGAAAGCCACGGCUAACUACGUG